This 441-nucleotide ribosomal RNA is filed under the name Streptococcus sanguinis. RNAcentral's name for it is "bacterial SSU rRNA". It matches the Rfam family "Bacterial small subunit ribosomal RNA", at positions 28 to 459 of the family's 1533-position model. The record is from RNAcentral. Lineage: Bacteria; Bacillati; Bacillota; Bacilli; Lactobacillales; Streptococcaceae.
GACGAACGCUGGCGGCGUGCCUAAUACAUGCAAGUAGAACGCUGAAGAGAGGAGCUUGCUCUUCUUGGAUGAGUUGCGAACGGGUGAGUAACGCGUAGGUAACCUGCCUGGUAGCGGGGGAUAACUAUUGGAAACGAUAGCUAAUACCGCAUGAUAUUAAUUGUCGCAUGAUAAUUAAUUGAAAGAUGCAAUUGCAUCACUACCAGAUGGACCUGCGUUGUAUUAGCUAGUUGGUGAGGUAACGGCUCCCAAGGCGACGAUACAUAGCCGACCUGAGAGGGUGAUCGGCCACACUGGGACUGAGACACGGCCCAGCUCUCCUACGGGAGGCAGCAGUAGGGAAUCUUCGGCAAUGGGGGGAACCCUGACCGAGCAACGCCGCGUGAGUGAAGAAGGUUUUCGGAUCGUAAAGCUCUGUUGUAAGAGAAGAACGGGUGUGAG